This 184-nucleotide non-coding RNA is filed under the name Solilutibacter tolerans. RNAcentral describes it as "Lysobacter tolerans 6S / SsrS RNA". It matches the Rfam family "6S / SsrS RNA". Rfam says of the family: E. coli 6S RNA was the first non coding RNA to be sequenced, but its function was unknown until recently. It consists of 184 nucleotides that fold into an extended hairpin structure with a large single-stranded internal bulge. The record is from RNAcentral. Lineage: Bacteria; Pseudomonadati; Pseudomonadota; Gammaproteobacteria; Lysobacterales; Lysobacteraceae.
CGUCCUCUGCCUUGAGCGACAGCGUGCAAAACAUUUGCCUUGUCCCUUAAGAACGACACCGGGUUCGCGAUAAAGUCCGGCGUGCAUGUCCGCCCUGUAGCGGGAAGCCCAACGACCUUAAAGCGUUCCCACUUGAGCCCAAUGGUUCAAGGUCGUUUCGCCGCAUCGCCACGGCGGAGGAUGU